RNAcentral lists this ribosomal RNA (253 nucleotides) under uncultured bacterium. Its description in RNAcentral is "partial 16S ribosomal RNA". It matches the Rfam family "Bacterial small subunit ribosomal RNA", at positions 524 to 776 of the family's 1533-position model. The record is from RNAcentral.
UACGAAGGGGGCUAGCGUUGCUCGGAAUCACUGGGCUUAAAGGGCGCGUAGGCGGCUUGAUAAGCGUGCGGUGAAAGCCCGGGGCUCAACCCCGGGUCGGCCGUGCGAACUGUCGAGCUGGAGCACUGUAGAGGCAGGUGGAAUUCCGGGUGUAGCGGUGGAAUGCGUAGAGAUCCGGAAGAACACCGGUGGCGAAGGCGGCCUGCUGGGCAGUGGCUGACGCUGAGGCGCGACAGCGUGGGGAGCAAACAGG